RNAcentral lists this long non-coding RNA (308 nucleotides) under Manihot esculenta (cassava). RNAcentral describes it as "long non-coding RNA (MESC_LNC002440)". The record is from RNAcentral. Lineage: Eukaryota; Viridiplantae; Streptophyta; Magnoliopsida; Malpighiales; Euphorbiaceae.
UGUUGCUUAUGUGUUAUGUUAUGUGCUGUUUUCCAGAACGUUAAGAUGCGAGGAACUCGUCGAUCCGCGAGAUUGACUGGAGUCCCACCUGUCAGUGAGGGAACAGCUGCUCGUCCUCCUGCAUUGCCAAGGGCAAGAUCUCAUAGGUCAAGCAGGGAGGGAACGUCAAGAGACCCUAGAAGGUCUUCUGACGAGAGCAGAAGAGGCGUAGGCAGAGGGGAAAGAGCAGAAGAAGAGAGAGUGGCUAGGGAGGAGGCUUAGAGUAGAGAUGAAAGUAUGGGUAUCGGACGGUCAGAAGAAGGUAUGGG